AUGCUCUUUAAUAGAACUUUCGGUUUAGCUGGUCAUGACCAAGAAACCACCGGCUUUGCUUGGUGGGCUGGGAAUGCCAGACUUAUCAAUUUGUCCGGUAAACUACUUGGAGCUCAUGUAGCCCAUGCCGGAUUAAUCAUAUUCUGGGCUGGAGCAAUGAACCUAUUUGAAGUGGCCCAUUUCGUACCAGAAAAGCCCAUGUAUGAACAAGGGUUGAUUUCACUUCCACACUUAGCUACUCUAGGCUUCGGUGGCAAUUAUCAUGUGCUUCUGGGACCCGAGACUCUUGAGGAAUCCUUUCCAUUCUUUGGUUAA
Molecule: ribosomal RNA, 315 nt
Filed under: Triticum aestivum (bread wheat)
Lineage: Eukaryota; Viridiplantae; Streptophyta; Magnoliopsida; Poales; Poaceae
Description: partial small subunit ribosomal RNA
Source: RNAcentral